GCACAAGCAGUGGAGUAUGUGGUUUAAUUCGAAGCAACGCGAAGAACCUUUACCAGGGCUUGACAUCCCUUGAAGCAGCUAGAGAUGCUGUGUCCUUUCGGGGCAAGGAGACAGGUGGUGCAUGGUUGUCGUCAGCUCGUGUCGUGAGAUGUUGGGUUAAGUCCCGCAACGAGCGCAACCCCUGUGGUUAGUUGCCAGCAAGUAGCGUUGGGCACUCUAGCCAGACUGCCGGUGAUAAAUCGGAGGAAGGUGGGGACGACGUCAAAUCAUCAUGCCCUUUAUGUCCUGGGCUACACACGUACUACAAUGGCCGUUACAACGGGAAGCGAAGGAGCAAUCCGGAGCAAAUCCCUUAAAGGCGGUCCCAGUUCAGAUUGUGGGCUGAAACUCGCCCACAUGAAGGCGGAAUUGCUAGUAAUUGCAGAUCAGCAUGCUGCAGUGAAUACGUUCCCGGGCCUU
This 459-nucleotide ribosomal RNA is filed under the name uncultured Oscillospiraceae bacterium. Its description in RNAcentral is "bacterial SSU rRNA". It matches the Rfam family "Bacterial small subunit ribosomal RNA", at positions 923 to 1382 of the family's 1533-position model. Lineage: Bacteria; Bacillati; Bacillota; Clostridia; Eubacteriales; Oscillospiraceae. The record is from RNAcentral.